UGAGUCGACCCCUAAGGCGAGGCCGAAAGGCGUAGUCGAUGGGAAACAGGUUAAUAUUCCUGUACUUGGUGUUACUGCGAAGGGGGGACGGAGAAGGCUAUGUUGGCCGGGCGACGGUUGUCCCGGUUUAAGCGUGUAGGCUGGUUUUCCAGGCAAAUCCGGAAAAUCAAGGCUGAGGCGUGAUGACGAGGCACUACGGUGCUGAAGCAACAAAUGCCCUGCUUCCAGGAAAAGCCUCUAAGCAUCAGGUAACAUCAAAUCGUACCCCAAACCGACACAGGUGGUCAGGUAGAGAAUACCAAGGCGCUUGAGAGAACUCGGGUGAAGGAACUAGGCAAAAUGGUGCCGUAACUUCGGGAGAAGGCACGCUGAUAUGUAGGUGAAGCGACUUGCUCGUGGAGCUGAAAUCAGUCGAAGAUACCAGCUGGCUGCAACUGUUUAUUAAAAACACAGCACUGUGCAAACACGAAAGUGGACGUAUACGGUGUGACGCCUGCCCGGUGCCGGAA
Molecule: ribosomal RNA, 509 nt
Filed under: Escherichia coli
Lineage: Bacteria; Pseudomonadati; Pseudomonadota; Gammaproteobacteria; Enterobacterales; Enterobacteriaceae
Description: partial 23S ribosomal RNA
Rfam family: Bacterial large subunit ribosomal RNA
Source: RNAcentral